Meleagris gallopavo (turkey) is the source of this 2861-nucleotide non-coding RNA. The record is from RefSeq and is a predicted model, not a curated record. NCBI's taxonomy places the organism in Eukaryota, Metazoa, Chordata, Aves, Galliformes, Phasianidae.
UUCCCCCUCCACUUUCCUCCAUUUAUUAAAAAAUAGCAGCCUCCUUUCAUGGAUUUUUGACUUGAAUGUCUGUCCUCCUACUCAAGGUUUCUCAAAUCACUUCACUUUGGAAAUCUGUUACUAUGGAUGGGUUUUAAAAUAGUGGGCAACAGCUGCCUCUGCUCCACGUGAUGUCUCUGGGGCCACAAAAACAUGUUGUAUUGUGAGGUGCAUUGUUAGAAUUGAAAAAGAAAGAAUCCAAUGGGAAACAACCAUAUGGGGAGGGUAAAAACAAAGAGGUGAAUAGCCACACUUUCUGGUAGGUGGGUUCAAGGCAAAGAGAGAGCUGGAAAAUUGUUUGAUCAAGUCUGUGGUACCCUGCACAUUGAAAUGUUACCACUUCUGAAGAUUUGGAUGUUGGGAAUGGUUUAUCGGUAGUCUGGCACACUUUUCCUUUCUGAGCACUGGGAGCCUGAAUUACCAUCCCAGUGCUUAACAGCAUGUGCUCAUCCCUUUGGAAAGCACAGAUCUGCUGCUUCUAGUUCAGUUUAAGGUCACAAUUCAGUCUGGUUUCCAGUUCUAUUUUGGAUCAGAGGAGACCCCUGGUAUGCCUUAUUUCUCUUCGUAUUUUAUUUUUUGCAUGUGUUGAUUUUGUUCCUGCCUUCAGUAUGUUCCUGAAGGACAAAGUUUGCUUUCCCACGGCCGUCACAAACUGCCAUUUGAAUUUUUCUCUCUUUUCUUUUCUCUCAGCCUUAAUUUCAUGCCCAUGCAGAACUCCUAGCCCUGUGUCACAUCUAAAGGUUACGUCCAGUGCUUCAGCUGGAGCUGCAGAAGGCAUGCCCAGCAGCCAGCCAGGGUGCCUGCCCUGCUGUAGAGUAGAUGGCCAAGAGAUCCCUGCUGUUUUUAAUAGCUCUCUGACGCUCUUGGCCAGCAAACGUGGCACAUUUCAUUAUAACUCAGUUUUCACACAGGCAGGUGACCUUUGUGGUGAUGAAGUUAAGCAUCUCAGCCUUUUGCCAUCUUUUUUGAGAGCUGGUGGCAGUUUCCUUGCUGCUGGGUUGUGCGCUCCUCAGAGUUCAUCCAGAGCAUAGGCUUGUGUGCUGGCAGGGGCAGGGUCCUGAUCCACUUCAUAACAAAUCACACUCUGCCUCUGCCAGGUUCCCUGGACUUACCUUCACAGUGCACAUCUUCUGUGAGCUUCCAGUGUUGGGCAGCUCAGGGUUGCCUGCUCAGCUUAAGGAUGUGGGAGAAAAACGAAGCAGUGAAGUGCCAAAUGAGUUAUUGGAGGAGCCCCAGCUUGGCAUUUGCAGCCAGGGGAAGGAGACUUGUCUGCUGAGCCUCAGUCCAAGGGAGACACGUCCACUGAAAUAUGUAAGAUGAUCCUAGGGGUCUUUUCCAACCUCCAUGAUUCUAUGCUUCUGUGCUCUCAGAUGUCACCUCCAAACCUCUGUUCUCUGAGUUUCUUCCCUUUGAAUGGUAUUCCGAUGUUUGGAGAAUUGUUGAUGCAUCACAUUGAGACUUUAUAGGCUUGAAUCCAACCUGAUUCUCCCAGUUUUAACAGAGCCCCCAGGUUACCUUCAAUAGGAGUGCGAGAUAGCUCCUAUUCAGAUCAGAGCCAUAGCAGGAUGGCAUGUGCAGCUUCCAUCAUCUGAAGUUUCUCAAGGUUUCAGUUUGUCUGCAUGGGCACAGCAUGACGUUUUUACGAUAAAAGGUGUGUGUCAAUCUGUGUACAGCUCUGGUACAGCCCUUGUUUCUGCUGUCUGUGUCCUGCAGAGGCUUCCACUGGAGAUACAGAGGAUCUGUGGUUACACACGUCACAUUUAAAUCUUGCUGCGAGGAAAGCAAGUAGAGGAUACCAAGAUGUUUCUUGUGAGGAAUGUCUCUUAAUUCCUCCCACACUGAUAUAGCCUGUCACAAAUCAGGGAAGUGAGUACUAAUAGCAUUGCUCCUCUUUCACAAAGCAAGUAAUUCAAUACUCACUCAUACAACACAGAGCCAGUGGUGCUCAGUGAUGCUGUGGUCUCCCCCUCGUUGGUGGGAGUGUGCCUUAAAGGAGAGGCAGCUAUAAUAAAACUCAGCCAAAUGGUGGAAACAUGAUCAACUCCUCAACCCGAUCGGAGCCAGCAGCCGCCGAGUGGAACAUUUGCUCUUGCUCUGUGUGCAGCUGCAUGCUGUAGCGUACUAUUUAUGGGCCAGACUCCAAUGGGAUUUAUGGACGACGAAGCACUACCAACAGAUUUGAUUACUGCCUGAGAUCACUGCAAAUGCUGCAGCAAACUGCAACAGCCGCAAAAUGAGGGCAGUCUGACGCGUGUCAUGCCAGUGAGAAAUUCCCCAGCAAUGAGGGGAUGGAGCUAAAUGGCUCCACACAGGCGCAGGAUUAUGUUCCCUUCUUAAGGCUUCUGCGGUUGUUUUGAGCACCUCUGGGCCUCCUCUGUCACUGGUUGUCUUCCUCACUGAGAGCGAGCUGAGCUGAAUCUUGUUAUCCACGCAGGAGCUUCUAAGGGAGCAGUUUUGAUGCUGAGAUAUCAGAAACCCUGCACAACGCAAUGAUAUGAUGGUUUUCUCCAGGUCUCAGAGCAGCUACCCAGAUCUUCAUGCUCACCUCUGCUUUCAGAGAGCAGAGAGAAGACAAGCUCUUGCUCAAGUGCUAAAGCACCACAAGAGGCUGAAAACAGUCUCUACCAUAUGACUGUUCUGCUGAUCAAACAGAAGAAAAAUCGUGUUUUGGCUUCCCCACAAGUUCUUUUGGUUGCACUACCACUGCAAACAGUUCUGUUGGUGGGAGAAGAGCAGCGGCAAGGGAAAGCAUUCCCCUCAUGUCGAGCAGAAUGGAUAAAAGUGGUGACAGCUCCACUACAGUGCUGACAAGACCAGCAGGG